Molecule: long non-coding RNA, 1074 nt
Organism: Anopheles gambiae (African malaria mosquito)
Lineage: Eukaryota; Metazoa; Arthropoda; Insecta; Diptera; Culicidae
Exons: 3
Source: RefSeq, a predicted model, not a curated record
AGAAACUCUUGUGUCUCGCUUUUCUGGGACUUGUCCAAUUUCGCUUGCUACACCAAGCGUUCACGCAAGCGAUCUUCUCUCGUCCGCUCUUUGUAUCAUUGUACAGGUACUCCCCGAUAUACGCUAUCAAUGCGGACCGGAGGCAAUAGCGUAUCUCGAAUAUUAGCAAAUGUCGAGUUUUCAGUCAAAUUAUAGCUAAUUUUCGUAUAAUUUUGCUUGAAGUGGUAGGAUUUACCACUUAAUUAGUUAUUUGAUCUGAUUCAACUGAAGAUUACAAUUGUACACCUUUUGAAAUGGCUUUUAAUAUUCGAUCUAAUGGGAAUUUAUUUUGAAUUUGAUAUUCGAUGUGUCAAAUUAGUACAAUUUGCUCAAAGAACUUUCAAAUUUAGAAAAAAAGCUUAUAGCGAAAUCGCGUAUAUCGAGUAUGGCGUAUAUCGGGGAAUACCUGUAUAGCCACCAGAGGAAGGCGCUGCUUCGCGUUCACAUGAAAAUGUGGUAGUGUGAAAUCAAGUUUGCAAGCGGUAGGACGCGUCGAUGCGUGCCCGUUUUUUUCUCUCGUGAAACCAGUACGGAAAAACUAUUUGCAAAUCGUAACACACGCACAAAUGGAAGUGAGCACGGACCACGAUAGAAAUAAUUAAUUGGUUGCAGUGCCAAAAACAAAAGGACAGGAGAGGCAGGAACGAUCAUUCAACGCGUUAGCGCCGGACGAAGGAGAAGCGGCAGGAAGGCAGGAACGAUCCUCCAACGUGCUCGCGCUCCAACGUGCUCGCGAAGGCAGGAACGCGCCUGGUAGAGGAGAGGCGGCAGGAAGGUAGGGACGAUCAUCCAGCACGCUAGCACAGUACCUGGGAACAGCGAGGGGGAGGCAAGCAGGAAUAAUUUUUAACGCGUGCACACCAUUCGACGAAGACAACGCUGGAUGAAAGGAAGAACGAGGAGAGAAGGCAGGCAAGACGGGUACGUGUGUAUUCCGCACCGGUUUUCGGCAGUGUGAAUUGUGUGAGUAUGUAAAUUUGUAUGUGCGAGUAAGAAGGUAAAAUAAAGAGCGUAAGCAUGUACGGAAUCGACAAA